Molecule: ribosomal RNA, 253 nt
Filed under: uncultured bacterium
Lineage: Bacteria
Description: partial 16S ribosomal RNA
Rfam family: Bacterial small subunit ribosomal RNA
Source: RNAcentral
UACGAAGGGUGCAAGCGUUAUUCGGAAUUACUGGGCGUAAAGCGUGCGCAGGCGGUUUGUUAAGUCCGCUGUGAAAUCCCCGAGCUCAACUUGGGAAUUGCAGUGGAUACUGGCAAGCUGGAGUAUGGUAGAGGAAGGUGGAAUUCCCGGUGUAGCAGUGAAAUGCGUAGAGAUCGGGAGGAACACCAGUGGCGAAGGCGGCCGUCUGGAGCAAUACUGACGCUCAUGCACGAAAGCGUGGGGAGCAAUCAGG